This is a long non-coding RNA of Drosophila yakuba, 11423 nucleotides long. RefSeq lists it as uncharacterized. NCBI's taxonomy places the organism in Eukaryota, Metazoa, Arthropoda, Insecta, Diptera, Drosophilidae. The record is from RefSeq and is a predicted model, not a curated record. The transcript is spliced from 2 exons.
AAUUUAAUAAAUUAACAUUUGUGUUAUUUUGUCAAUUUUUGUGCGAGAAGCGGAGAAUGCUGCAUUUGGUUCUAAGACCACAUUGUAUCGCUCGGCAUUUGGGGGCUGGUGGGGUGGGGAGUGGGCGCCACUCGGGUCAUAAAUUCAGAGACUAACUAUAGAUCCGAAACGAUACGACCCGAACCGGUUGGUUCACUUUUACUCUCAUCGCCAGCGGAUUGCCGGUCGCAUCAUGGGUUCUCGGACCCUCUGCCCGUCUCUUUGGACUGCGCCGUAAACCAAUUUUAAUUUAUGCUAAUUGUUCCGAGUUGGCAACAUCAAUUGGGACGCAGCACGCGAGAAACGCAGUCAAAUGCGAUUCCGAAACCAUCGGCAUUUAUUUUUACUUUUAAUUGGGAGCCAAAAUUUGUUAGACCUUCGCGGAUCGGAACGUUGUAACAGGCACAAAACUGUUGCGUUUUUUGCACGCAUUUCUCUCGCUGCCGGGGAUUGAUGCACAAGGUCGGAAUCCGUGUCUCUUGAUCGAUGCACAAUUGCCGGCAAGUGAUGGCUGCCGAUCUAGCGAUCCAUCUGGAGCCACAGCGAUCCACCGAUCCACCGAUCCACCGAUUCAGCGAUCACAGAUCACCGACUAUGCUUAUUGGCAACUACAAAAAGUUGCCCCAUAAUUCAUCGCAUUUUAUUUUUAUUGUGCUGAGUGACUCUUUAUACACCGAUGUUUCCCUCUUUCCGUGGCGUGUCAAAUGCACAACAAGGUUCUUGUUUCAUCCGUUAGAUCCGCCAUGAUCAUAUACCCCUUACAUACACACUGUUCACUGGUCAUAAAUCAUCCGGUGCUGUGGGAAUCGAAGUGUAUCUCGGAAUCUGUAUCUGUAUCUGCAUCUUUAUCUCUAUCUGCAUCUGUAUUUCUAUCUGUAUCUGUAAAUGUAUCUGUAUCUGGAGUUGGCGGAAAGUUCAAUGUUAAAGGCAAGAGACAAAAGAAUUUGCCACAGUUCAAAGCAUCAUUCAUUAUCCAAUUGCGAUCGAGCUGGAGCGUUUAGACCGUUAACGGUUAACUGGGCAAGUCAACUGGGCCCCAAAGAGCCAAAGAGGUCCCAGCAAAUUGAAUACCCAGAUCCGAAACGCGCCCAGUUUCGGAUCUGCUAUUUGUCUUAGCCUUUGUCUUGUUUGCUUUGCAUUGGCUUGGUUUGGUUAGUUAGCGCUGCUUGUUACCAAUUUCUGGGGUUUCUGGGGUUUCUGGGGUUUCUGAGGUUCGCGAGCUUUGUGGUUCAAGGCCUUCGCUUGACAGUGGCUCAAAGGACGUGGAUGUGUUGAUGUUUUGCUUCAAUGGGGAGCGGCAGAUUACCUAAUAAUCGAUCUUCCGUGCUGUUUAAACUUUAACACCCUACGAUUUAACUUAAAAUCGUUAGUUUACACUUAUAUUUGUACACUGUCUAAUAAACUAAAGGUGGUCAAUAAAAUGAUUAAAAAUCCUUUUGCAAUUUUUGAAGUUUAUACUCCAAAACGGAUUUAUCAGCCCGAAAUACAUAACUGCCAAAUCGUUAAUCGAUUAAUGUGAUUUGCUGUACAUUUUGAGUGCGCUGAUUUGUCACUGGUUAGAAUUUAAUAGUGUCAUAACUUAGACAAAACCUGUAGCCACUGUAGACUGUAGCUUCCAAAUGAACGUAUUUAUCGACCGCAGAAGAGAGUUAAUUAAUUCGAUUGCAAAACAAAUGUGUUAAUUGAACCAAAAAUGUUCCCAGCUGGCGAAGACGAGCGCAGUGCCAGAACAAUGCCUUGGGGAAUUCUAAUACUGGGAAAAGGCAGCCCGAUGACCACAAAAGUGAAGGCUCUUGGCCUCAGACUCAAAAAAGUGCAUCCAAUGAAACUGCCAUUUGGUCAGUCGAAGUCUGAGAACUUUCAAGUCACCUGCAGAUGCACACGGAUAAGUGCAUACUAGCUGUAUGGUUGCGAUUUACUCGCCGUCUGGCAGAAAUCGAGUUUCGUUGACGGCUCCUAAGCAUCUGCAAAUUGUAACUAAGCGCGGGUUUUUCUUCGCCUUUACGAGCAGUGGCUAUAAUUGAGUAUAUGAGAAUGAGAAUAUAAAAUUUUCAAGGCCAGAGUCCGCUCGGAUCAUCACGGCUUACGGCUUAGUUUCGCAACCACGGCGAAGUUGGCCAUCCAAACGACUGGCGAUGAUGGUGGGCGCCCCAUCACGUAACUAGAACACAAUGCAGGCACUCAGGAGCUUAGAUUUGCGGGGUUUUGGGUGAAGAGGCGAAAUGGUUUAAGAAUACGUUCAGCUUGUGUUCUUUUAAUAUGUUAUUCACUUUUUCAUUAAUUCAUUAGUUCCAAGUUCUGCUAUGAUAUACUGCUAUUUUGGCAAGGCUCAAUGAAGUUCCUAAUAAUAUUAAAGAGUUUAUUAUCCAGAGUGGUUCUAUUAUUGAUAGACUUAGUUCCCUUAAAAGCCGCUCCUGUCGAAAUGCAGUGGAACACAAAAAAAAAACCCAGUGCGUAGACCACAUAAAAUGACUUUUUUGGCUCGGUCAAGUGAGUGUGCCGCAGUGUUAAUUUGUGUCUAAAAGCAACUCAUUAAAAGUGAUAUUAUGAUGAAUAUAACGAAAAUUAAUUAAACAUUUUUAUGAUGCACCAAACAGUUGGGGCCGUAAAACUGAAGAUUCAGAUGUACCGAUUGCCUGCGGUUUAUCGGGAACAACGACUUAAUGUAUUCCCUUAGUAGCGCAUAAAUUAAAUUAAUAUGUAAGAUCCUGUUCAGAGUUAGGUACGAAUAUAAUAUUAACGUUGGAUUUGGCACUGCGUGUAAGGCGAGGCAUCCACUUAGAGAUAAACACAGUUUUAUUGGAUUUAAAUGAGCUGUGAGGUGGAUGUUUUUUCAAAGCAACUGGAAUCAAUAACUAAGAAGCUUGGUGAAAAAGUUGUUGAUAAAAUGUCUCUGAGCUAAAAGGAUUUGUUUAAUCCGAAAAGCAUAAGAGCAUUCUUCGAUCGAAUACCUCUCACCGACUAGUUCCCUGCUAAUCGAUUCAUUAUACCUGCAUUUAUCACAACUCCCCAUUCGUUUUGCCUGACAGACGAGAGACCAAAAAAUAAAAUUAACAAAAUGCUAACUUGAAGUCAUAACAGAGUUCUAUGGCCAUAUAUAACAAUCUAAUAUUAUAAAGAACUUAAGAACUUGUUAUAUUCCCGCUGCAAGCUGCGCAGCGAAAGUUUUACCAAAUUUAAAUCUCACAAAAGGGAGGAAUACAAAUGAUUUUCUUUUGUAUUCUAAUUUCAUAAGCGAAGCACCUUAAAAUUUCUCAAGGUCAGCAAAGAGUUUGAAUAACGAUUUUUGGCUUUUGGUCAGGAAAUGCGCGAAGCAAAUUUAUAAAUUCAAGUUUAUGAAACUGCCAAAAGUGGGAGAGAAAAUGCAGAUUAGCUUGAAUAAACACAACACAUUUGGCCAGAGAGAACUGAUCCGUUAUUUUAAUUGCAAUGUUCUGAAUGCGAGCAGUGAAUUUAUGGCAAGAAGCGGUCUGAAAAAUGCAAAAACCGGCUGAGUCGAAAUUAUGGAAAUUCAAGAUGUAUUUUAUAGCCCAAAUACCCGUAUUUCGGAGUGUGUGUGUUCGCUGCGAGCGCGUUUUGCAUCGAAUGUUUGAUGUCACUGCUGCCAGUUAUUUGACAAUCUUGUCACAUCGAUACCUCUCUUCUGUUUUUGCCCAGCUGCUUUUUAUAGUGUUUUUUUCAGCCAAAAACUCUAUCGGCGUCUGCUACCCAGUGUGUUUGACUUGGUAAUGAGACAUGCUCGCUGUCGCCGCUUCAAUUAAGCCAAUCUUGAUGCGGUUGAUUGCGAUGGCAUCUUGGCUCGAAGCCAGCUUGCACACCAGCAGCGAUUUUAUUUGUAUCUUUGUAUCUUUGUGUUUUGUUUAUUUAUAUAGAUUGUGUGACUCCUCUAAUUGCCAGGCUACCGAAAUCAGCCGCAUAACCGAGCACCUAAUUCGCUGGACAAUCUUUUUGUUUACUGUUCGCUCCCACACGUGGUAUACAUAAUAUUACGCAUUCGCACUGUGGGACAGCGCAUGCUAGUGCAUCCGUCUCGCUUCCGCCUUGACGUCACCAGUUCUAUUUGGAACUUGGCAACAGCCGCUGGCCACGAACAGUCCUGCGUGGCUUUAUCGAUCGCCUGUGAACCCCGAGUCGAGGAUUGUGGCAGUCCAAAGCCAAGGACGUCAUCAGUUUCAAGUGCGUGUCGCCCAUACACAUAAAAUUCUAUAUAUAUUGUUCACUAUAUCUGGCCUGGCUUUGAUUUGUUUUUGUGAAUGUGAAUGAGUGUGAGUGUGAGUGUCUCGGGCCUUAAUUAUAUGCCUCGAGCACGAGCCCCCCAAGUCUGAGUUGCUUGCCCUUCUGUUUCGCUUGAAGUUGUAUAAUUGCAUGUCUCUUGUGUUCGAUUAUUGCUAAUGUUGCAUGUUUCAGGGGAGCAGAAGUCGGUUCUUUGACGCAUUUCCACCUGUGAUUAUUCGUUUUUCUUGGCUUAAUUUAUGAGCUGUUGGGCUAGGCUGGGUUUUCAUCGUUUAUUUAUGGUUAUGGGCUUUGAGCUCACCAGGUAAUAGGUUUUCCGCGAAUCGCCUGAGAUUUACAUAUCUUUGUUUUUUAAAUAUUUCGACAUCUUAAAACUCCUCUUAAAUGUAUUUAUUUAGUAUUUUCAUCUUUUUGUAUUGUAUAUAUGCUCUGCUUUUAUUUCAAUUUUCAUCGUUCACACCAGAAAUGAAGUGAAAACCCCAUUAAGAAAUCAGCUCCCUUUACAUUCGUUCCGCCGAAAAAUUCGCAUUUUGCUGUUUAAAUUCCGAACACGACUUUCAAGGUCCUUUGGAAGCGACCCUGCCAUAAAAAGAAGCAAGCCCAAAGUUCUGAUGGUAAAAGAAGGCGUGUUACAUCAAGGACUUCUGCGGGGGUGCGUGUGCUUUGUAUAUCCUGGCGGUAUCUACAAGUGUGAAAUCAUCGUGGGGGCCAAACAAAAACAAAUGCGGGGAAGAGUUAACACCCAACGGACGACCUUGCGUGCCACGUGAGAGUCGUGAGGCACUCUCCGGGCGAAAUGAGGGGUAGGUUGAGGUGGGUUGGGUGGUUGCAUUCAACUUUCGUUGGCCGCUGUUGGAAGAGAGAGCGUCGCAGAGAAAGAGCCCAGUCAGAGAUACUCGCGGAAUGACGACCCCGACCUAGCAACUUUCCACAAUGACGUCACAACGGAGAGCAGCACAGAGAGUUUCCAGGGGGUGUAUCUGUGGCCUAUAUAUACAUACAGUGCGUCCGGUGGUGUUAUACCGCCCCUCCCCCUUUUUUCGUGCGCCUUCGAUGAUUACGCCAUCAAACUGGCGACUGGAAGGGGCUCGUUGGGGUCUUCGAUUUUUCCAUGGUCGGUGUUAUUUUUGCACGUGAGCUCCGCUUCCUCUUCUUCUUCCGCCUCUGCAGUGGGCCAAAAAAGCGGCUGUUUAAAAAUAGUUAUAGCCACGGGGCGUUGUUUUUCUACUCGGCAGAGUUUCGCUUUCAGGUUAUAACCUUUAAGCAUGGGCUUAAAUUCCCUAUCGUAGUUGGGCAAUGCAAUGUUUCUUGUUAUCAAGUGAAGAUAAAGAUGUUUAUGAUCUCGUAAAAUGGAAAAAUGGUGGCCAAAUCUAAUAACUUUAUACCAACUGAAAUUGCAACAAAAUGUCUAACAAACACAACCUAAACACCUCCAGUGACUCUUCAUUCCAAUCGGACUUUCCGUGGGCCGUCUGUCUGCCAAUCAAACCGAUGCGGCAGUUGCAAUCUCGGCUUUCAGUGUCUGCCGCAUCUUCAAGUGCGGCGACGAACGAAUCAACGAAACAACGAAACGCUGGCAAACAAGUUGCGCGCCGAAACAUGAAAUAAACAAGCCAAUUGACAAUGUAGCAGGGAAAAACAUGGAAUUAUUGGCCACGAUACUGGCGAAUUUAAAAUGCACUCUUAUGGGGUGCAUUUAAAUACAAAGUAAGGAGAGUAGUUGCUUUAAAAAAUACGUAAAUACGUGGCCACACGUUAUGUGCGAAACGGUUACUAAAUUUUUAACAGUGAUAAAUAUAUUAAAAAAUGUCUUUUGGCCAAUUGGAGCUAUAAUAAUUAUAUUAUUUUUUUUAAUUUUAUUCGAACUAAAAGUAUUAUAACUCUUUAAUGCCGAAAAUAACGCUGUAGAGUAAAAACAAACUAAAAUCUCAUCAAUUUGAGGCUUACUUAUGCGAACAACAAAAAUUUGUACACCGAUUCGUUGUAAUUUUUUUAAUCAAUUUUUUCUAUUUUUAUUUUCGUUUGCUGGGCUGCUGGCUGAUUUUCCUUUUGGAAAAGAACUAGCCAAACAGACAAAUCUUCUAGCUCGGCAACAGAGACUCAGCCUAUUAGCAAACAAUUUUUGUUUGAUUACAAAACCAACGACGUACGCACAAGGGGAAACUUGUUAAAUGCAGCUUCUUUUUUCUUAACGUUUUUUACGGCCUUUUUCACAACUCUGCGAACACAUUCGUCAAGGUGGCAGCGCGCAGGAAAGCCAACAGCAAAUAAUUAAAAUAAUAAAAUUAACCAAGCAAACAUUAUGGACAAUAAAUUUUCUUGAAUUUUGACGACGCACUAAUGCUUAAUGUUUGGUUUUUGGUUUUAAUUCUUAACGUGUUUUUUGGAAUUUUCUUGAUUUGAUUGCAAUUUAUGGCUGGCCUGUUCUCGCUAAAAUUUGUUAAACGUUGUGUAAUCCUUUUUGUUGAAUUUAAUUGCAGCUUAGGUAGUUUGAAUGGGAAUAAAGUGAAGACGUAGGUGUCAGGUGUCCAAAAUAAUGUUAAAUGUAAAACUAUUUCCAAAUGUGCGGCAAUAAAACAAAGCAUCUGCUCAAAUAUGUUGUAACGUAUGACUUUGGAAAUAAGUUGUGGUCCAAAUGGUAAAAUUAUUUAAGAAUAUUUCCACAAAUAUGUACAUCUCCUUACAUUAAUUGUGUUAAGUAUACGUUUUUUUUAAUAAAAUAUUUGAGCAAAAAACAAGUUCCUAAUUGUUAAUUUGUCUUGUAAAGUAUGACAGAUUCAAGGCAAUCAAACUGCCAAAAACCUCAAAAUUAACAUCAAGCUCAUCAAGUGCAUGGCAAAAUUAAGAAAUAACCAAAAAAUGCAGAAAGAAAAAAUAGAAAAACGCCGCAACAAGAGGCCAACGGCCAGGCAAUCCAAUCAGUUUCAAAUUAAGGUUUACAUGUGCGAGAGCCGCCAGCAGCCUGCCAGUCGAAAUUGACCAACAACCGGCAACAAAGUGGCCAAAAUAAAAGAAAGACCCGCUGAGGGGAAACCGUCCGAAAGGAAAACCUGUCCGCUGUCCAACAUUCGAUGUCGGAUGAACUCUGGCGACGCCUCACCGAAGUAUUGCAUUCCCAUGCCGCCGAUCAGCAGAUGAUAAUGAGGAUGGUGCUACUGACUGGUGGUGGUGAUGGUGGUGUGGGUGAUGGUGAUGGUGGGGGUGGGGGUGGUGGUGCACUGGUGCUGCUGAUGACAUCGUCUUGGCAGUGGCUUCAUCCGCCGACUGACAGCACGUUCUUCUUGCAUGCCACCGAUGCGACAUCCACCACGCCUCGUGAUUUGUGGACAUUGCACUCGAAGGGAGUGCAACUUGCACAGAAAUCGAAACCAAAACAAACCCAGCCGCGGAAUGUUGGCCAAAAUGCAGAAACACGACCGGGCAGUACUGAUUGAUUUCAGAAAAGCACUUCAGCAUUCCCAAAUUAUAUCAAAGAAACUAGAAGCUCAAAGGAAAGUCCGAAAAUUUAAUUUAACGCCUAAGUCUAAGGUAUUUUUAAGUACAUAUUAAACAAGUGAAAUCUUUUACCUUCUUAUUUAAGAAUAAGACAUAAUAAGAAUAUGAAUAUAUCGACAAUGAACUAAAACCCAUUAAAAAGGGUUUAGGCUACACCAAACUGUAGUGACUUCCGCCCUUCGUAAAUAUUACAUCCCUCGAAUACCACGACUGAGGACAACUAUGCGGAAUUGAAAGCCACUUGGAAUAGUUUCAUCGACCCGGGACGCGUUCUGUUCCCGAUCAGCCAGAAAUACCUCCAAUUUGGACAUCGAACUGGCGGGAAAGUUGGGUAUAUUGGUGCUGGCUAAUUACGCGGCGACUGUUUAAAUUUAAAACGCGGCAUACGCAUUUAGAAAUUAUUUAAGCAAUGCAGAAGCAGAAGAAUUCGCGCUUUCCGUAUUUAUUUUUAUUUUCGAAUCGCCAGCAUCGUGUGAAUCAAUCGAGGAGCACAUCCAACGAAUCGAUCGGCAAUUAAUAACGAAACGCGCUCACAAUCAAUAUAAUAAACACAAUUAAACCAGACAAACCAUAAUUAUUACGUAAUUGAGGUGGGUUGUUCAUUAUGCAUCUGAUUUGAGUUCCCCGAUAAUCCGACGAUGGGACUGGAACUAAUGCUGGUCUAUGGUCUAUGGUCUGUGGUCUACGGUUUGUUGUCCAUCAUGGUUUCUGGCCAUUUGGCUUGUUGCUUUGUGGCUGCCCGAUGUCUUGGCCAUCGAUCAGCGAUGAAGAGCAUAAUGGCACCUCCCCGACCACCGCGUUUCGUUAUAAAAUUCGCAUAAAUCAACGCAAAUAAUUAAGCAGUCGCAGAGCAGUCCCCACCAGUUGCUAAUAUCGAGAGUUUGCUAUCCAUCUGCCUAGACGCGGGCCUCCCAUCCCAACAUAUACAUAUAACAAAAAAUCCCAAAUCCCAAGCAAAACAAAACAAAAAUCACCUCAAAAAGACAAAUUAACAAAUUCACUUUUGUGGUCUUUACUCAUUCGCACAGUGCGAAAAUGAAUAGCAAAAGUGCGAGACGAGCUGAUUCAAAGAUAGUUGAGAUAGGUUGCAGAUGUAUUUACCAUACAUUUUAAGAUUACGAUUAUAACAGACUGAGGGCUUAGAAGAAUUUGGAAAAGUUUCAAGCUGAAUCGAAGACAGUUUAAUGGAGAUGAAAAGCUAAAUUCGAUUUAAAGAUAUAAGAAAGAGGCGAUUGACGGCUUUUUUGCCUAUAUUACUUUAAAAAAAAUUACAGAUGACAGCUUUAAAUUUUGCACUCUCGAACUUGAGUUUGGCAUUGAGUUAAAGGUAUUAUAGUUAUUGUAAACUAUUAUAAUACAUUAGCUAAUAGCAAGUGCUAAUUUUUCCAUUGUUCUAAGUGUAAGGAAAUGCACAUCAAAUUGGCCAUUACACCAGUAUCGAAGAACCAGGAGAGCGUAGACAUGGAUAAAUGUUCAGAUCCUAACCAUGUCAGUGGGCUAUCCAACUAACGCUUUUUUAUACACCUGUGCCGCCUGUGUCUGUAUGGUAAGUAUGGAAAACGAAACUUGGAAGGCGACUACUGGUCUUGGCAGAUGGGGCUGCUCCGCGGAAACCGGUGUGCCCGAGUAGUUUAUUUUUUCGACGCGGUGUGGAGUGUCUCUAUGAGGAAUGGGCAAAAGACGCAACAAUCAACAAUGGCUAUCCCGACAGCUGCCGCGGAGAUAACUCACAACGCACGACGGAUCGUGAAUAACUAUACAAUGAAGGGGCCUACGAUAUAUUUUAUCAAAUUUUUUUCGGGUGUCAUAGAUAUGUGAGUAGGUAUUUUGUGAGUUUGUGAUUUUGCAUCAUUUAUCAAGCUCGUUUCGCAGGGGUUAAUCAGUGAGGGAAGCGGUGAUCAUCUUGAUCCCUGGAAGGGAAGUGCAUUGAACAGCUGUAUAUGUGUGGCUCAAGCAGACCUUUUACUCAGUCGCUUUGGGCCAUGUUGAAAUGCAAUUGGCUACGCCCCAGAGAUGUUGUCAUGUUGAACGGGGCAACGGGGCGUAUGAGCAAUCAAGGCGAAUCGAAAAGAAAGGGUAAAAGCAACAAACUUUUCACACGCCCUUUCGUGAGUAUCGAGUAAAAACGAAACGGAAAAUAAAAUCGAAAUCUAAGUAGUCGUAGAAAUAAGAAAUACGCUGACUUGUGAUAAUACUGCAGGCAUUUAGCCAACUCAUCCCCGAAAUAAGACGUCAUCAGCACGUGGCCAGCCAUAAAUAUAAUGAAAAUAAAACCGAACCAAUUAUAAGAUAAAUAUAUAUAUAUACCAACAUAUUAGGGGAUGCAGCUGACGCAAGGAAAGUGCAAUCUUUUCACGGUUUCGUCAUAUAUUUUCGAUUUUGCGGCGACGAUGACGUUUUCGGCACUCGUGCCUCGGGAAAACACCCAUACUAUGGAAACUGUGUGUGCCGUGUGAUCCGUUAAACUGGCCGAUUUCAUGGCCCCGCUGUCGUCAUGGCUUAUAUACUAUUUACUAGUAUUAAUGCGCUGAAUGCACCUCACCUGGUCAUAUGUUCUUCGGCGAUUUGUUCUUUGGUUUGUCAUCCGCCGUCGGGCACUUUUGGCGCCCAUCGCCAUAAUUGUACUAUACAACCAACUUAUAAAUAGAGAUGUUUGUUUUGCCACAGCUAGUUGUCAACUGAAUCUAGAUCAUUUUGCCCUUGCAUUUUCACUUUUGCAAUCGAUUGGUAACCCUCCGUUUGGUGUUGAACUGCAUUUCACCAUAAGUAAUAAUACAAGUAAAAACUAAUUUAUUACUUGGGUUAAGGUUUCAAAAAUCGAUCUUAAAACUAUUGAAAACUAUCCUGAAUAGGAUGCACCAAAUAUCUAUCAAUAAACCAGCAAACAAUUUAAGAUUUAUUGUUUAGUAAUUAUAGCGCAGUAAUAUUAUUUAUUAAAUCAAUUUAGAAUGUUUAGUAAACAGUAAAUUCCUGUAUUGCCCCAUUGCAGUCGACAAUGCUAGCCACAGAGUGUUUAAAAGCCGAGUGCUUGGAAACAAUUAAUGGGCGCUAAGUUAGCUGCAAAACACAGACUCUUAAGAAGCGGCUAACAAGUGGCUAACCAACUUUGCCGCAGCAAAUGAAUUGGCAAAGCCUUUCAAGGCGUUUAGUAAGCUCAAUAAUCGGAUACCACCCACCACCCACUCGGCAAAGAAGUGAUCGAUCUUCCUUCCGUGUGUUUGAGCAUCAAUCGGCGAUGUAUUCAUGCGGUUCUCGCUGGUUAUUAAUAAAAUGCAUUGGCCAUCCAUCCCCGUCGAUAAUGAGUUUCUUUGUGGGUAACCGUGUGGAAAUCGGACGCACUGCAUCUGUGUGCGGUGUUUAUUGUGCAGCUUGUAAAUCACUUUGCGUCAGGCUGCGUCCGCUGCCGUCUGCUGAAACUGCGGCGCUUUGCUGACGCUGGUAAACAUGUGUACGACACCAACAACAGCAGCACAUGCUCACCAAAAGCCAAGACGGGUCUGCACACACAGCUAAGGUCAACGUGGUUGUAUUUGAUUUAAGCCCGUUUUCACAGAUCGGGAUAGUUGGGCAGGGUGCGUGGAUGCCAAACUUGAAAUUUCCAAAAUGUAUCAAUUAUUUUACCAACUAUUUGUCAAUAAAAUUAUUUUAAAACUUUA